This is a long non-coding RNA of Myripristis murdjan (pinecone soldierfish), 383 nucleotides long. RefSeq lists it as uncharacterized. NCBI's taxonomy places the organism in Eukaryota, Metazoa, Chordata, Actinopteri, Holocentriformes, Holocentridae. The transcript is spliced from 3 exons. The record is from RefSeq and is a predicted model, not a curated record.
CGGGAGAGGCGGCGCCGGCGGAGUGCGUUUCCCACGGUGUGCGGUGUUUCCUGAGCGGCGUUGAGUUACAUGGCUUUUUAACUCAAGCACUGUCAAACAAAAUAAUGUCAGUGUUUGACGAUAUAAAACGAAGCAAAACGUGGACAAAAGGCUUUCAAAUAUUAGGAUCACUCUGCCGAAUCCAGACUCCAGCCGAAGACUCCAACCUGAGCUGUGCUUACUACUUUGACUGACUAAUAUGCACAGGGUAAACUGAAGAGGUCAGUGAUUGCAGAGAGCUGACUAGACCCCCUGAUGAUGCAGUUGUGUGUAUGAGUCCAGGCCAUUUCAGCAACAUCAACAGGAGACCUGCCCCUUUCUGUAAGAUACUUCAUCAAGCCUGA